AUGACAGUGUGGAAUGUUCGUGGCCUCAACGCACCCGCAAGACGGAACUCGGUUUACCAGGUGGUGAACACGGCUAGUCCGGCCAUAGUGUGUCUGCAGGAAACCAAACUACAGGAGGUCUCGGAUAUCAUUGUAUGACAAUGCCUUGGAAAUAAUUUCAAAUUUUUUUACUUGCUAGCUAUAGGAACACCUGGGGGGUCUUGA
RNAcentral lists this ribosomal RNA (204 nucleotides) under Triticum aestivum (bread wheat). RNAcentral's name for it is "partial small subunit ribosomal RNA". Lineage: Eukaryota; Viridiplantae; Streptophyta; Magnoliopsida; Poales; Poaceae. The record is from RNAcentral.